This 1445-nucleotide ribosomal RNA is filed under the name uncultured organism. RNAcentral's name for it is "SSU rRNA". It matches the Rfam family "Bacterial small subunit ribosomal RNA". The record is from RNAcentral.
GCUAGCUACAGGCUUAACACAUGCAAGUCGAGGGGCAGCAUGGUCUUAGCUUGCUAAGGCCGAUGGCGACCGGCGCACGGGUGAGUAACGCGUAUCCAACCUGCCUUACACUCUUGGACAGCCUUCUGAAAGGGAGAUUAAUACAAGAUGUUAUCAUGAGUAAGCAUUUUCGCAUGAUUAAAGGUUUACCGGUGUAAGAUGGGGAUGCGUUCCAUUAGAUAGUAGGCGGGGUAACGGCCCACCUAGUCUUCGAUGGAUAGGGGUUCUGAGAGGAAGGUCCCCCACAUUGGAACUGAGACACGGUCCAAACUCCUACGGGAGGCAGCAGUGAGGAAUAUUGGUCAAUGGACGAGAGUCUGAACCAGCCAAGUAGCGUGAAGGAUGAAGGUUCUAUGGAUUGUAAACUUCUUUUAUACGGGAAUAAACGAAUCCACGUGUGGAUUUUUGCAUGUACCGUAUGAAUAAGGAUCGGCUAACUCCGUGCCAGCAGCCGCGGUAAUACGGAGGAUCCGAGCGUUAUCCGGAUUUAUUGGGUUUAAAGGGAGCGUAGAUGGGUUGUUAAGUCAGUUGUGAAAGUUUGCGGCUCAACCGUAAAAUUGCAAUUGAUACUGGCAGUCUUGAGUACAGUUGAGGUAGGCGGAAUUCGUGGUGUAGCGGUGAAAUGCUUAGAUAUCACGAAGAACUCCGAUUGCGAAGGCAGCUUACUAACCUGUAACUGACAUUGAUGCUCGAAAGUGUGGGUAUCAAACAGGAUUAGAUACCCUGGUAGUCCACACGGUAAACGAUGAAUACUCGCUGUAGGCGAUAUACAGUCUGCGGCCAAGCGAAAGCAUUAAGUAUUCCACCUGGGGAGUACGCCGGCAACGGUGAAACUCAAAGGAAUUGACGGGGGCCCGCACAAGCGGAGGAACAUGUGGUUUAAUUCGAUGAUACGCGAGGAACCUUACCCGGGCUUAAAUUGCAACCGAAUAUGGCGGAAACGCUAUAGCUAGCAAUAGCGGUUGUGAAGGUGCUGCAUGGUUGUCGUCAGCUCGUGCCGUGAGGUGUCGGCUUAAGUGCCAUAACGAGCGCAACCCUUGCCGAUAGUUACUAACAGGUCAUGCUGAGGACUCUGUCGGGACUGCCAUCGUAAGAUGUGAGGAAGGUGGGGAUGACGUCAAAUCAGCACGGCCCUUACGUCCGGGGCUACACACGUGUUACAAUGGGGGGUACAGAGGGCUGCUACCACGCAAGUGGAUGCCAAUCCCAAAAACCUCUCUCAGUUCGGAUUGAAGUCUGCAACCCGACUUCAUGAAGCUGGAUUCGCUAGUAAUCGCGCAUCAGCCACGGCGCGGUGAAUACGUUCCCGGGCCUUGUACACACCGCCCGUCAAGCCAUGGGAGCCGGGGGUACCUGAAGUGCGUAACCGCAAGGAGCGCCCUAGGGUAAAACUGGUGACUGGGGCU